Molecule: ribosomal RNA, 444 nt
Filed under: Campylobacter gracilis
Lineage: Bacteria; Pseudomonadati; Campylobacterota; Epsilonproteobacteria; Campylobacterales; Campylobacteraceae
Description: bacterial SSU rRNA
Rfam family: Bacterial small subunit ribosomal RNA
Source: RNAcentral
AGUGAACGCUGGCGGCGUGCCUAAUACAUGCAAGUCGAACGGAAUUUAAAAGAGCUUGCUCUUUUGAAUUUAGUGGCGCACGGGUGAGUAAUAUAUAGCUAAUCUGCCCCUUGCUGGAGGACAACAGUUAGAAAUGACUGCUAAUACUCCAUACUCCUUUUUACCAUAAGAUAAAUCGGGAAAGAAUUUCGGCAAGGGAUGAGACUAUAUCGUAUCAGCUAGUCGGUGGGGUAACGGCCUACCGAGGCUAUGACGCGUAACUGGUCUGAGAGGAUGAUCAGUCACAUUGGAACUGAGACACGGUCCAAACUCCUACGGGAGGCAGCAGUAGGGAAUAUUGCGCAAUGGGGGAAACCCUGACGCAGCAACGCCGCGUGGAGGAUGACACUUUUCGGAGCGUAAACUCCUUUUGUUAGGGAAGAAUAAUGACGGUACCUAACGAAU